GAAAACAAUCCUGGAAGACCAGUGUAAUGCCCUGAGUUCUCACAAAACAGCUAAAGAAGCAGAAUUGAACCUGCUAAAGAAGAAAUUGGAUAUGGUGGUGGAGUUCUCUGAAAACCGAAAACUGACUGCAGAAGAGAAGCUAGAAGAGACACUGUAUGAAUUGAAUGCAACUAAGAAUGAGCUGUUAGCUGCCGAUAAAUAUCUGAAAGUAACUGAAGAAGAAAUGGAGAAGUACAGACAAGAAGUGGAAGAAAUGCGAGAAGAGCUGCAG
Neogale vison (American mink) is the source of this 271-nucleotide long non-coding RNA. RefSeq lists it as uncharacterized. The transcript is spliced from 3 exons. The record is from RefSeq and is a predicted model, not a curated record. NCBI's taxonomy places the organism in Eukaryota, Metazoa, Chordata, Mammalia, Carnivora, Mustelidae.